UACGUAGGGUGCGAGCGUUAAUCGGAAUUACUGGGCGUAAAGCGUGCGCAGGCGGUCUGUUAAGACCGAUGUGAAAUCCCCGGGCUUAACCUGGGAACUGCAUUGGUGACUGGCAGGCGUUGAGUGUGGCAGAGGGAGGUAGAAUUCCACGUGUAGCAGUGAAAUGCGUAGAGAUGUGGAGGAAUACCGAUGGCGAAGGCAGCCUCCUGGGCCAACACUGACGCUCAUGCACGAAAGCGUGGGGAGCAAACAGG
RNAcentral lists this ribosomal RNA (254 nucleotides) under uncultured bacterium. RNAcentral describes it as "partial 16S ribosomal RNA". It matches the Rfam family "Bacterial small subunit ribosomal RNA", at positions 524 to 776 of the family's 1533-position model. The record is from RNAcentral.